RNAcentral lists this ribosomal RNA (253 nucleotides) under uncultured bacterium. Its description in RNAcentral is "partial 16S ribosomal RNA". It matches the Rfam family "Bacterial small subunit ribosomal RNA", at positions 524 to 776 of the family's 1533-position model. The record is from RNAcentral.
CACGUAGGGCGCAAGCGUUGUCCGGAAUUAUUGGGCGUAAAGAGCUCGUGAGCGGUCUGUUACGUCUGCUGUGAAAACCCGGGGCUUAACCCUGGGCUUGCAGUGGAUACGGGCAGACUAGAGGCAGGUAGGGGAGAAUGGAAUUCCCGGUGUAGCGGUGAAAUGCGCAGAUAUCGGGAGGAACACCGGUGGCGAAGGCGGUUCUCUGGGCCUGACCUGACGCUGAGGAGCGAAAGCGUGGGGAGCGAACAGG